This 5340-nucleotide long non-coding RNA is filed under the name Podarcis lilfordi (Lilford's wall lizard). The record is from RNAcentral. Lineage: Eukaryota; Metazoa; Chordata; Lepidosauria; Squamata; Lacertidae.
CCCUGCUCCUGCCAACCUAGCAGUUCGAAAGCAUGUCAAAGUGCAAGUAGAUAAAUAGGUACCACUCCGGUGGGAAGGUAAACGGCGUUUCUGUGUGCUCCUCUGCUCUGCCAGAAGUGGCUUAGUCAUGCUGGCCACAUGACCCGGAAGCUGUACGCCGGCUCCCUCGGCCAAUAAAGUGAGAUGAGCGCCGCAACCCCAGAGUCGGUCACGACUGGACCUAAUGGUCAGGGGUCCCUUUACCUAUCUGGACAUAGCAAACAAAUGUACCAGAGAGGAGAGGCUGGCAUUCUUCUCCCCUGGCAUGCCAGUUUUUGACGUGCUUACAUAUUUUUGUCAAAUAUGAUGGAGCCUCCAAUAACAUGGCCAGCCCCAACUACAAUCUGAAGUAAAAUACAGUGGUACUUCGGGUUAAGAACUUAAUUAGUUCUGGAGGUCCGUUCUUAACCUGAAACUGUUCUUAACCUGAGGUACCACUUUAGCUAAUGGGGCCUCCUGCUGCUGCCGCGGUGUGAUUUCUGUUUUCAUCCUGAAGCAAAGUUCUUAACCCGAGGUGCUAUUUCUGGGUUAGUGGAGUCUGUAACCUGAAGUGUCUGUAACCCGAGGUACAGUGGUACCUCAGGUUAAGUACUUAAUUCAUUCCGGAGGUCCGUACUUAACCUGAAACUGUUCUUAACCUGAAGCACCACUUUAGCUAGUGGGGCCUCCCGCUGCCGUCGCGCCGCCGGAGCAUGAUUUCUGUUCUCAUCCUGAAGCAAAGUUCUUAACCUGAAGCACUAUUUCUGGGUCAGUGGAGUCUGUAACCUGAAGCGUAUGUAACCCAAGGUACCACUGUAUUACUGUAGUAUAAGGUUACCAGAUUUUUUUCAAUGAAUCUGGGGACUCUUUUCAACUUCAAUGGAUUUUAUAUGGGCACUGAUUUGUAAAUCCGGGGACUGUCACUGGGAAACGGGGACAUCUGGUAACCUUACUGUAGUACAGAAAGUGGUGCAUAAUAAUUAUUUGGCAACUCAUGCGGCUUAGUCCUCAGCGUCCACAAGUUGAGGCAGAAGGGCUGAAAAUUCAUGAGCCACCAGGUUAUGGUUGGGAAGUUUCUCGCUUGAGGUGGUAUGUGCUUGGGAGCAGGAAGAGCUUGAGGAGUAGAGAUCCCAGGGAUUCAACCUGUUCUGUUCACCAACGGUUUACAGUUGCAAAUAAUAAGAAGAGAAAAUGCAGAUUUUAUUUACAAAAACAGAAAAGUUCCAUUCCCCAAGUAUCAAGAUCUUGGCAUCCUCUCAUUGUGAUAAAAAGGCUUUGCAAGAGUGAAAGGUUAGCAGCGGAUGUGUGAACCCCAAGAGACCUUCAUACGAAGCUUCGCUUUCUGUCCUUGGAAGGAGCUGUGAGAAUGUCAGUCAGACAUUAAAUAUAAAACUCUGCAGCAUCACUGAGGCCCUUUCUGCCUUUGGAUCAUUACUAGAGUUUAAUUAGGGCUAUGUGCAUACGUUGUACUAUUUUCCCACAGAAAGCUGAAAUGCAGCAAGCUCCUUCAGUUUGUAAACAUUAAUCAUAUCAUUAAGAUACCCUUGUUUUUGCACAAUUCACAGUGCAAUUCUAUACAUCAGAAGGAUGUAUAGAUGAGUUCAAUGAGGCUUAUUCCCAGGUAAGUGGCAACAGGAUUGCAGUCUUUGCUGUUCUGCCUUUGCUAAUCUUGGGAAGAGACAAGGAAGAAGUGAUGCAGCAAUGAAUCAUUCAUUCCCACUUGCUAGAAAUUCUCUUCAGCUGUCUCGCCAGUUUCUGAGAUUUCUUUUGCUGGAAUGAUUUUUAUUUUAUUUUUUAAAAAUACAUUUAACACUACCAGGGCUAAAUGCAAUCUUUAUACAGUGGUGCCUCGCAAGACGAAAUUAAUCCGUUCCGCGAGUCUCUUCGUCUUGCGGUUUUUUCGUCUUGCGAAGCACGGCUAUUAGCGGCUUAGCGGCUAUUAACGGCUUAGCGGCUUUAAGAAAAAGGAAACAAACUCGCAAGAACUCGCAAGACGUUUCGUCUUGCGAAGCAAGCCCAUAGGGAAAGUCGUCUUGCGGAACAACUCAAAAAACGCAAAACCCUUUCGUCUAGCGAGUUUUUCGUCUUGCGAGGCAUUUGUCUUGCGGGGCACCACUGUAUAACUUCACAUCGCACAUACACCUCCAAGCACAUUUCCCAUACCAAGAGGAGUAGAAGCUUCUGGAAGACAGUCCUGUUUAGGGAAGUUUUUAAUGUCUGAUGUUUUAUUGUGCUUUUAAUAUUCUGUUGGAGCUGCCCAGAGUGGCUGGGUAUAAAUAUAUUAUUAUUAUUAUUAUUAUUAUUAUUAUUAUGUAGUAAAUCUGCUCAUUGUUUAAGAUUAGUUGCUGCACACCUCUUGCGCAUGCCGUUAUUUUCUGGGGGAAGGUUGGUGGCAACACACAAGAGAGUCUUUUCUGAGAAAACUCCCUGCAUAUAGAACUUCCUGCUGCAAGAAGUUAGGUUUCCUUCCUAUUUUUGGAACGGGGCGAGUCUGCAUAAAAGAAUGGGGGGUGGGGUUGCUUUAAAAGUUAUAUGUUAAUUUGGAAUGUUGUAUUUGCGGGCUGGGGGAUUCUUAGGGGCUUUUGUUGGGGGAGUGUGUUUCUUAUUAGUUUGUAUACACUAGCAUUAUUAAUUGUUUUAAUUAUUUUUAUUAUGUAUUUCGUGUUUUUAUAUUGUAACUUUGUAUUGUUCACUGCCCUGAGAUCUACAGGUAUAGGGCAGAAUACAAAGUUAAUAGUAGAAGUAGUAGCAACAGCAACAACAAUAACAACAACUUUUCCUUUGUUUCCUGCAUAAUGACUAUUGGUACCGCUCUCUCUCCCCAACUGUGUGUGUCUGUUUUGCUGCUAUUUUUAGCUUGAUAAUUCAUGUUUUGACAGAUAGAUCAUUGUUGCUUUUACAUUUUAGUUUGUAUUUCUAAGCCACUUUGAGCAACUCCAUGUAGAACAGGGCAAGCAGGAUACAAAUGUUUCAAAUAAAAUAAUAAAAUAAACCCCUGUGUUUGCUGUGCAUUUUGUAUGUUGCUAAAUAUCGAAUCUUAAAACCUUUUACAAUUCAGUAGCAAAUGCUUACCAUUUAUUCCACAGAGAUACUUCCCCUAGUUCCUUUCUCCCCCACCUUGAAACCUAGGCAUGUUAGGAGCUUGUUGGGGCCUGUGCCCAUCAGUUUCUGGGAGCCCUUCCGCAGUCGUGUGAAAAGUGAUUUCCUCAAAAGUCAAGGUUUGAGGGCAGAAAUCUGGCUGAGUCUGGAAUAACCUUGUGAAGUGAAAGGAUAUGAAAGGAUGAUUUAUAUCUAGAUGUUAGGCUAGAGAGGAUAAAGAAAACAGGAAAACAGGAAGACACAAUGAGAGAUAAAGGAGGUGCUGUGGGAUUGGUGGAAGGCAUUGUCUUGUUGUUGUUUUAGUGUUUAUAAUAUUAACUUGUAAGAUAUGGAUUUGUUUGUUUGUUUUGUUUAUGUUUUUUUUAGUUUUCGAAUGUUGAUUUCUGUGUGUUAUGUAUUGUUUUUUUUUGAUAUCUUUCGUGUUGUUGUUGUUGUGUGGAAAAUACUAAUAAAAUUCUAAUAAUAAUAAUAAUAAUAAUAAUAAUAAUGUGAUUUCCUUCCUUCCACACAAGCCUUUUCCUUUUAAGCUUUCAAUAAGGGAAGGCGAGAAUAAGUACUUGCAAUGGAAAAUUACACGGAGCCUGUUGAUCUUGAAGCACCUUCGGCAGACGGGGAUUAAAAUUCAUUUUAAAAAUAAGGGUUUCAAGCAAAGGACUGAACCGAGACGUCAUUGCCUGGAACUGCUGUAGCUACAUUUAGAAGAUCAAAUAAUUUUGAUGCCGUCUUGGAGGUUGAAAAAAAGAAGAAGAAACUUCUUAAGAGAUUACCUGAUGGUUGCAAUAUUUUUACAACUGGUAAUCUUUGGGGGAUUUUAUGUAUGAAUGAAGUUUCAUUCAUUGCAUACAGUAUUUAGAUUUUGAAUUUCUUUUUGGGGGGGCAUUUAAUACAAUAUUUUAUUGGUUUUUUCCAUAUUACAUCACAAUAUAAAUAAACCAAAGCCAUCACCACAUCUCCCCAUCCCCCCAUAUAUCCAUCAAUCAAACCUAAUAUUCUUUUGUUCUUAUUUGUGGGGCACAGGAAUUCGUUCUCCCCCCACCCAAUAACCUAGGUUUAAGGAGCCAUUUCGCUCCUGGCUUUCAUAUCUCAGUUUCUAACAGUGGAACAAACAAAGGACAUACUCAUGUGAUGAGGCACAGGCAAACUCGGCCCUCCAGAUGUUUUGGGACUACAAUUCCCAUCAUCCCUGACCACUGGUCCUGCUAACUAGGGAUUGUGGGAGUUGUAGUCCCAAAACAUCUGAAGGGCCGAGUUUGCCUAUGCCUGCAUGUGAUGCUGCCACAACCCUCUACACUAACACUUGGCAACCAAACGAGAGAACCACACUUCCCAUCUCUCUCUCCCCUUCUCUUUCCCCCCAGUUGCAAGAUGUCUAUGACAAAAGUGUCUCUCACUAAAUGUAAAUGAACUGUGAAGAAGACUCUAUGAAUUGAAAGAAGUGGAGAUGACAGAUGUACCUUUCCCUGUCUAUGUGUUUUGUAACAGCAAAUAUCCUUAAUAAAAGCUGUUUUUUUCAAAGCAGCCCCAUGUAGAGUGCAUUACUCAAUCUCAACCAGAAGUUACCGAGUAGGUGUGAUGGUUGAAAAGUCCCUUGUUUCCAGGAGAAGGAGAGCUCCACUGGUGAAUUGGCCAAAGUGGAAGAGGACAUCACGACGACUUCAGAAUGUCUGGUUGAUUGAUAACCACUUCAGGUACUCCUUCUUGAAGUGUGCUUGCAGCACUCAAACGCACUUAGCUUGCUCGAGACUUGCAAGCUAUACGGCACCUUGACACAGCCCUCCAUCAUUCCCUGCCUCUCCACUCAGUACAACGAUAUAACCCCCAGCUCGGCAAUGCUUUACACUGACACUGUGCCCACAGGAGCGAAUUAAAGCAUUUGAAGAGAAGUAUAACCUACUCUCAGGGAUAAGGGUGGUGCUGUGGGUUAAACCACAGAGCCUAGGACUUGCUGAUCAGAAGGUUGGCGGUUUGAAUCCCCGCGACGGGUUGAGCUCCCGUUGCUCAGUCCCUGCUCCUGCCAACUUAGCAGUUCGAAAGCACGUCAAAGUGCAAGUAGAUAAAUAGGUACCGCUCCGGUGGGAAGGUAAACGGCGUUUCCGUGCGCUGCUCUGGUUCGCCAGAAGCGGCUUAGUCAUGCUGGCCACAUGACCCGGAAGCUGUACGCCGGCUCCCUCGGCCAAUAAAGCGAGAUGAGCGCCGCAACCCCAGAGUCGGUCACGACUGGAC